Molecule: ribosomal RNA, 330 nt
Filed under: uncultured bacterium
Lineage: Bacteria
Description: bacterial SSU rRNA
Rfam family: Bacterial small subunit ribosomal RNA
Source: RNAcentral
UGUGUAGGCGGCCCCUUAAGUUUGGUGUGAAAUCUCCCGGCUCAACUGGGAGGGUGCGCCGAAUACUGAGGGGCUAGAGUGCGGGAGAGGAGAGUGGAAUUCCUGGUGUAGCGGUGAAAUGCGUAGAUAUCAGGAGGAACACCGGCGGUGUAGACGGCUCUCUGGACCGUAACUGACGCUGAGACACGAAAGCGUGGGUAGCAAACAGGAUUAGAUACCCUGGUAGUCCACGCCCUAAACGAUGCAUAUUUGGUGUGGGCAGUUCAUUCUGUCCGUGCCGGAGCUAACGCGUUAAAUAUGCCGCCUGGGGAGUACAGUCGCAAGGCUGAA